UGAUAGAAAUUUAAACACUUUUUAAAGUAUCAAUUGGAGGGCAAGUCUGGUGCCAGCAGCCGCGGUAAUUCCAGCUCCAAUAGCGUAUAUUAAAAUUGUUGCAGUUAAAAAGCUCGUAGUUGAAUUUCUGUUAAAAAUAACCGGUCUGCUUUUUUUAUUAAAAGUUGUAUCAUUUUGGUGUGUUUUUAACAAUAAUAAUGUCCUUUGAAAAUGUUUUUUACUUUAUUGUAAUAAGUCAUUGUUUUGAGGAUUUUUACUUUGAGAAAAUUAGAGUGUUUUUAGCAGGCUUUUACGCUUUUGAAUACUGCAGCAUGGAAUAAUAAGAUAGGAUUUUAGUUCUACAUUAUUGGUUUUAAGAACUAAAUUAAUGAUUGAUAGGGAUAGUUGGGGGCAUUUGUAUUUAACUGUCAGAGGUGAAAUUCUUAGAUUUGUUAAAGACAAACUAUUGCGAAAGCAUUUGCCAAAGAUGUUCUCAUUAAUCAAGAACGAAAGUUAGGGGAUCGAAG
Molecule: ribosomal RNA, 506 nt
Filed under: Hepatozoon americanum
Lineage: Eukaryota; Apicomplexa; Hepatozoidae
Description: partial 18S ribosomal RNA
Rfam family: Eukaryotic small subunit ribosomal RNA
Source: RNAcentral